Molecule: ribosomal RNA, 513 nt
Filed under: uncultured bacterium
Lineage: Bacteria
Description: partial 16S ribosomal RNA
Rfam family: Bacterial small subunit ribosomal RNA
Source: RNAcentral
GAUGAACGCUGGCGGCGUGCCUAAUACAUGCAAGUCGAGCGAACAGACGAGGAGCUUGCUCCUCUGACGUUAGCGGCGGACGGGUGAGUAACACGUGGAUAACCUACCUAUAAGACUGGGAUAACUUCGGGAAACCGGAGCUAAUACCGGAUAAUAUAUUGAACCGCAUGGUUCAAUAGUGAAAGACGGUUUUGCUGUCACUUAUAGAUGGAUCCGCGCCGCAUUAGCUAGUUGGUAAGGUAACGGCUUACCAAGGCAACGAUGCGUAGCCGACCUGAGAGGGUGAUCGGACACACUGGAACUGAUACACGGUCCAGACGCCUACGGGAGGCAGCAGUAGGGAAUCUUCCGCAAUGGGCGAAAGCCUGACGGAGCAACGCCGCGUGAGUGAUGAAGGUCUUCGGAUCGUAAAACUCUGUUAUUAGGGAAGAACAAAUGUGUAAGUAACUAUGCACGUCUUGACGGUACCUAAUCAGAAAGCCACGGCUAACUACGUGCCAGCAGCCGCCGUAA